AUUGAACGCUGGCGGCAUGCCUUACACAUGCAAGUCGAACGGCAGCACGGGAGCAAUCCUGGUGGCGAGUGGCGAACGGGUGAGUAAAGUAUCGGAACGUGCCCAGUCGUGGGGGAUAACGUAGCGAAAGUUACGCUAAUACCACAUACGAUCUAUGGAUGAAAGCGGGGGAUCGCAAGACCUCGCGCGAUUGGAGCGGCCGAUAUCAGGUUAGGUCGUCGGUGGGGUAAAGGCUAACCAAGCCGACGAUCUGUAGCUGGUCUGAGAGGACGACCAGCCACACUGGGACUGAGACACGGCCCAGACUCCUACGGGAGGCAGCAGUGGGGAAUUUUGGACAAUGGGCGCAAGCCUGAUCCAGCCAUGCCGCGUGCAGGAUGAAGGCCUUCGGGUUGUAAACUGCUUUUGUACGGAACGAAAAGGUUUGGCUUAAUACGUUGAACUCAUGACGGUACCGUAAGAAUAAGCACCGGCUAACUACGUGCCAGCAGCCGCCGUAA
This 500-nucleotide ribosomal RNA is filed under the name uncultured bacterium. Its description in RNAcentral is "partial 16S ribosomal RNA". It matches the Rfam family "Bacterial small subunit ribosomal RNA", at positions 30 to 523 of the family's 1533-position model. The record is from RNAcentral.